This 75-nucleotide transfer RNA is filed under the name bacterium. Its description in RNAcentral is "tRNA-Val". It matches the Rfam family "tRNA". Rfam says of the family: Transfer RNA (tRNA) molecules are approximately 80 nucleotides in length. Their secondary structure includes four short double-helical elements and three loops (D, anti-codon, and T loops). The record is from RNAcentral. RNAcentral also lists the same sequence under 2 other names.
GGGCAGUUAGCUCAGCGGUAGAGCGCUUCGUUCACACCGAAGAGGUCGCUGGUUCGAGUCCAGCACUGCCCACCA